Molecule: ribosomal RNA, 425 nt
Filed under: uncultured bacterium
Lineage: Bacteria
Description: bacterial SSU rRNA
Rfam family: Bacterial small subunit ribosomal RNA
Source: RNAcentral
GUGGGGAAUCUUGCGCAAUGGGCGAAAGCCUGACGCAGCCAUGCCGCGUGAAUGAUGAAGGUCUUAGGAUUGUAAAAUUCUUUCACCGGGGACGAUAAUGACGGUACCCGGAGAAGAAGCCCCGGCUAACUUCGUGCCAGCAGCCGCGGUAAUACGAAGGGUGCUAGCGUUGCUCGGAAUUACUGGGCGUAAAGGGCGCGUAGGCGGACAGGUUAGUCAGAGGUGAAAGCCCAGGGCUCAACCUUGGAAUUGCCUUUGAGACUUGCUGUCUUGAGUUUGGGAGAGGUGAGUGGAACUCCGAGUGUAGAGGUGAAAUUCGUAGAUAUUCGGAAGAACGCCAGUGGCGAAGGCGACUCACUGGCCCAAUACUGACGCUGAGGCGCGAAAGCGUGGGGAGCAAACAGGAUUAGAAACCCCGGUAGUCC